UAGGGAGUUCAGAAGGGACAACAGAAGUAAUAAUCAUAACACAAUCGAGCAUUAAUUUGUAUCUGCUACGCUCAGUUUUACUGCCGACAUGCCAAACAUAUCCAGAGGCUGCAAUAGCGAACACUAGCAAAAAUAGAAUAAAGUAAAGACUUUCUCGAUUGUUUGCAGUGACCUUUUCCGAAGAAAAUACCAUGGUACGUACCAAAGAACCCUGACUUGUUUCAAAUCCGGUACGAAGAACAAUUGCAGGAACACCAUUAUCUGGAGUCUUAAGUUUGCAAAACGGCGAUUGAGUUACUUGAAGAACCCUAGUUCCUCCAAACAAAACAGCGUUUUUGUCAAGCUCAUCGACAUCAAUAACAGCUUCUUCGGGGCGCAACUCAAUAGAUUCCUUAACCAGAGGUGUAGAUUCUCCAGAAAGCAUAGCCUCAUUUACUACACAAGAACCUGAAAGUAAAAGAAGAUCACAUGGAAGCCCACUGUCUUCCUUAUUGUGAAGGACAGAUACGACAUCAUUUGGAAGCAAAUCUUCGGUAGAGAUAGGGAACCAAUGCUUAUUGCGAUAAACUUGAAUUUCAUAAGGUUUAAUGCUCAUAGUACGAAAUUCGGUCAAUGUACGUUGACGUUGCCAUACUACUGAACAUUCAAGAGCAAUAAUCAUGAAC
This is a non-coding RNA of Schizosaccharomyces pombe (fission yeast), 665 nucleotides long. NCBI's taxonomy places the organism in Eukaryota, Fungi, Ascomycota, Schizosaccharomycetes, Schizosaccharomycetales, Schizosaccharomycetaceae. The record is from the annotation of a GenBank genome assembly.